AGCGAACGCUAGCGGCGGGCUUAACACAUGCAAGUCGAGCGCGUGGCUUCGGCCACGAGCGGCGAACGGGUGAGUAACACGUAGGUCAUCUGCCCUUUGGUGGGGAAUAACCCGAGGAAACUCGGGCUAAUACCGCAUACUGCCUUCGGGUCAAAGGCUUCGGCCGCCAGAGGAUGAGCCUGCGUCGCAUUACCUAGUUGGUGGGGUAAUGGCCCACCAAGGGGACGAUGCGUAGCUGGUCUGAGAGGAUGAUCAGCCACACUGGGACUGAGACACGGCCCAGACUCCUACGGGAGGCAGCAGUGGGGAAUAUUGCGCAAUGGGGGAAACCCUGACGCAGCCACGCCGCGUGGGUGAUGAAGGCCUUCGGGUUGUAAAGCCCUCGUCGGGGGGGACGGAAGUACUGACGGUACCCGUCCAACGAAAG
This 427-nucleotide ribosomal RNA is filed under the name uncultured bacterium. Its description in RNAcentral is "bacterial SSU rRNA". It matches the Rfam family "Bacterial small subunit ribosomal RNA", at positions 28 to 491 of the family's 1533-position model. The record is from RNAcentral.